RNAcentral lists this ribosomal RNA (372 nucleotides) under Triticum aestivum (bread wheat). Its description in RNAcentral is "partial small subunit ribosomal RNA". The record is from RNAcentral. Lineage: Eukaryota; Viridiplantae; Streptophyta; Magnoliopsida; Poales; Poaceae.
AUGAGAUGCAUAACAAGAACAAAAUGCAAAACAACAGACAAAAACCCAACCACGGAGGAAAUAACAAAUCACAUAGCAGGAAAUGGCAAGAGUCGGAGUUACGAAUAUGGAAAGUUGUAUCUGCGGCAUUACAUUUGCCUUGAACAACAUAAAAAAGGGCAAUUUCCUGAUUAUGUGGCAAUAAAAGCUAGAGUUUUGCAAGAAGAUGAAUCUUUGCCAAUUGAUAAAAUUGGCAAGCAAAAAUAUGGUUUUACAACAAAGCAUAUGCAUUCACCUAGUACUACAUCAUAUUAUACACCCCCUACACAAUUGCAAAAUUUCGGCAACACUCGUGUGUCAUUGCUGAAAGAAUCUAAAAGCAUUGGGGGGUAA